RNAcentral lists this non-coding RNA (42 nucleotides) under Bigelowiella natans. Lineage: Eukaryota; Cercozoa; Chlorarachniophyceae. The record is from RNAcentral.
CCAUUCUCGUGUUUUUUUUUUUUUUUUUUUUUUUUUUUUUUG